This is a small nuclear RNA of Gorilla gorilla gorilla (western lowland gorilla), 106 nucleotides long. The record is from Ensembl. NCBI's taxonomy places the organism in Eukaryota, Metazoa, Chordata, Mammalia, Primates, Hominidae.
GUGUUUGCUUCAGCAGCACAUAUAUUAAAAUGAACAAUACAGAGAAGAUUAGCAUGGCCUCUGUACAAGGAUGAUAUAAAAUUUGUGAUAAGUUUUAAAAAAGACC